This is a long non-coding RNA of Cydia pomonella (codling moth), 4940 nucleotides long. RefSeq lists it as uncharacterized. The record is from RefSeq and is a predicted model, not a curated record. The transcript has 3 exons. Lineage: Eukaryota; Metazoa; Arthropoda; Insecta; Lepidoptera; Tortricidae.
GUAACGUUCGACUCGCCGGCACUCAGUAACCGUAUAGGGACCACACAAAAAAUCGCAAAUUAUUUUUUCACUUGUUCAUUUCGAAUCUUAUUUCAAUUACCAUAGGAGUUGUAAUUAAAUAACCGUUUAAAGUGACCAGGCCCUUUUUUUGCAGGUAGUGGCACGCGCCGUUUUAGUUAACAAUGGACAAAGGAUAAGCCGUUGGGGGCCAGCUACAAAUCUAACAACUAUACCUAUGUGUGUAUGGCCGACGGUAAUUGGUUACCAUCAGGCGAUUCAUCUGCUGGUUUGCCUCAUAUAAUAAAUACGGAACCCUAGAAAAAGUUUCAGAUGCUGACCCUAGAACAACCUGGUACCAAAAAAGCACGGAGAAAAAAGUUAGCUUAUUGUACUCUAUUCUGGGGCGGUCUUGUGGUUAAUGUUCGUAAUUAAAAGUAAAUGUAAGUACCGUAAAACCACCCAACUAUAGUCCAAUACUGCAACUAUGGUCCACAAGUUCAAAAGGAAAUUAAGUAUCUAUGCCAAUGUUCCUUGUGGUUUACUCUUAGUUUUACUUUCCAUUUAUAAACAUACUUUGCCUUAGAACUACAAAAAUAUAGUAAAAUACACACCUGAACGAGAAAAAUUUAGUUUAUUUGUGGACCAUAGUUGGGAGCUUUGGACUAUAGUUGGGUGGUUUUACGGUAGAUUAAAAGUUGUAAGUACAGAUUAUUUCAUAAUUGAUUGGCGCUAAAGUCAAUAAAAAUAUUGACAGAUAAAGAAAUAGUCAAAUAAGAACUUUGUGUAUAAAUAAAUCUAAUGUAGUUAGCUUUAUUGAUAAAUUAGUAAAAUUAAAUCCACGACUACUUACAGAGAUUUUCUGGAUAGAAGUACGAUUCUGGACCGAAUUUUUAUCUUCCUUUUACUAAGCUGUCCCAUUACUCUUCUGCAGCCAUACUAGUUCCAAGAAAAUAAACUACUUUUAUAACUUAAACAAAAAUUUGAUAAAGUGCCCUCCAUCAGCGGCUGUUAGUGCUAAAGUUCUAACUUACGGACUUAAACCUCUUAGCGCCAGUCACUAAUUAACGUACAAAUCUUCGUAUUAAGCUGAGUAACGCUGGCAUUAAGUUUUCAUAGCUAACUUUUGAAUAUGAGGAAUUUUUAUUUCCUUGAAGACAGCAAAAAGUUGAAGUUUCAUGAACAUGUUUCUCCACUGGCAAUUCCAUAUAACAUCGUGUGUUAUCAUCAUAUUAAAUGGUCCCUGUCACGGAAUGAAAUAUACCGUUAUGUAAAUGCCCGUAUAAGACUGUGGCAUACAAGUGAAGGCACCGCCUGGCUGAUUUGAAAUGGAAACGGAGAUAGAAGCAAAGCCUAUGCAACUCCAGCAACGAUACGAGCACGUAAAUCUUUAUUAGUAAGUAAUUAUCUGGUCAGGUCAUGGGAAAACAAUCAGGUUCCUCUUCGUCAAAAACAUAAUUAUCAGAUGUUUGCACCCUAAAACUCAAUAACAAUUCUACAUAAAAUUAUGACGCGUAAAGGAUGAUUCACGCUAGAUACGGGCCGGGCUCGGGCCAAGGCGUCCGACAUGUUCUUUUCUAAGAUCGGAUCACGUGGUGCUUUCCAUAGAAAACGAAACGCCAGAAGCUCUGGCCCGGCCCGGGCCCGGUCUAGCCUGAGUCAUCUUUAAUGUCUUUCAUUAACAGUUUUGAAUGAUUCACGAUUAGUUUCACUAGACUUAAAUCGACCGGGACAAUGAACCGUGAUUCAAGAACUCAAUAAAACAAUAUAAAAGGUAAUCACGGUUUAUAUCCCGGUCGAUUUAUGUAUUUCACUGUUUUUUUUCCGGAGUAAGAUCAUGAGUCAUUUUUGCCAUGAUUUCAGCCUGUAUGCGUGGGAUUCAGAAAUACUGAAAUGUUUUUUUUUUCAUAUAAUGUAUCUUACCAUGAGCACGGAAUAAAAUUUUCAUUCUAAAAUUGGUAAUUCGUAAAAAAAAACCGUAUCACUGACCGAAAAUAUAAUCGCCACAAAAAACUUAUUCAUUCCCCAUGCACUCCGGCACACCCAUAAAUAUUUCAUGCUCCGUAUCCUACACGGAUCGCGAUCUGAAGUCAAAGCUGAUAUUCAAAGUGUCGGCUCCGGAAAUCCGCCGCUGAUUUGUCAAAGACUUAGUCGUAGAUAGUGCCACAACCCGCACAACACGCGGUGGAUUUGUGGGAUUUCUGUGUGUGGAGAAACCUCUCUAUUAGAGUCGAUAAGGAAGUUUAAAGGCACUGCGUGUUUUUAGGGUUCCGUACCAAAAAGGUACAAAAGGAACCCUUAUGGUAUGACUCUGUCCAUCCGUCCGUCUGUCUGUCUGUCACAAAGCUAAAUAUCUCGAGAACCAAAUUUUCAAAUAAAAUAUAAAUUUUUGAAAUCGGUUCACAGGAUAGAGAAUUAUUCAUGCCGUUAGAUGGCGCAGUACACAAUAAUACUUAGUAUAGGUACAUCUAAAGUCUUUCACAUUUAUAGUCGCGAUAAUUCAAAGAUUGUACGGAACCCUCGGUGCGCGAGUAAUACGAACUCGCACUUGAUCGGAUUUUUUUCACUGGUGGCAAAAAGGUCAUAUGCAUUUUAUCGUAGGUACAUAGGCUUAACUCGUUAGCAUUUUUCCUGCAUACAGUAUUGUCCACAGAAGAGACCUUUUUUUUAAAUGUGUUUGACAGAUUUUCUGAUAGAAAAAUGCGUCAAAAUAACGCACAUGAAUUGAUGAUUAAUGUUAGGUCACCUCAAAUGUUUAUUUUACCAACAGUAACAUAAGUUUCAGUUAUUAUAAUUAUGUGGUACAGUUAAGAUAUAAAUAUCGACACGGACAAAGUACCAAAAAUAUGUAUACACGACCUUAUUACCUACAUAUUAAAGUACAUAUUUUUGGCGCUUGGUCCAUGUCGAUAUUUAAUACCUUGACUGUACCUAAUAAAUUGAGAUAUAUAAUAUAUACUUAAUGUAAUGUGUAUGCCGCUGUAGCAAUGGCAGCUAACAACACGGUGAAUUUAAAAUUUUCAUUCACAACCCCCAGAGAAUAAUCUGUUUCCACUUAGCUUUCUUGUUACAGACCGAAUAUUCUCAUUGUUUGCACGAGUCUUGUGUAAUCGAGUCCAUGUUCAAUCCAGUUACACGUGACCUCUAUUGACUACUAAAAGAAAAAGUGCUCCUAUGCUGGUUCUUUCAAGCGAUUAUAUUUCCCGUCCUGGGCUACCGAUUGGAAUGAUACUAAGUCCCCAUGGUAUUUGGUUAACUUGGCUUUUGUGUGGACCAAUGGCGUUGAGUGAUCUCAAUCUGGCGGGCUAUUAUGGGAGUUGCAGACUACAAAAGGACUAAUCAAGUUGUGUUAUGGCAAUCAGCAGUCAUUUUGGUAAUUUUCUAAAUCAAGUUAGUAAUUGAUUAUUUCUAAAUAUUACAACGGGUCUAACGCGAUAAUAUUACAUAAUUUUUACCUUAUCCGACUUUUCAGCUGGGCUGCACCAGUUGUGGUCACGGAUGACUAACCACAGCUACUGUCAUUUGUCACCAUGCCUGUCACGUUCUAACAAGUAUAUAAGCGCGAAAGUGACGGGCAUAGUGACAGGCAUCGAUUGACAGGUGAUAAAAAUGGAACCAUGCUGCCGCCGCUGUAGGGUUAAGAUGGUCGGUUUUUUUAUCACCUGUCAUCAUGCCAGUCACGUUCUAACAAGUAUGUUUUGGAAGGUAGAGGCAAGGAACAGAAUCUCCUUAGGCAGAACUAUUGCAAAAGUAUCCAGCUGUCAGCUAUAAUAAAUAAUAGUUCCAAAUCUCUCCAGAGUAGCGCUAGAGUAGCUAAGAACCUAGGCGUUAUUAACGGAGUGAAGUGCGCUGUCUAAAAUCGAUUUUUUUCUCAAGUAUUCUAGGUAUUGUAGCGCCACCUAUUUAUGGUUUUUUGUCGGACACUUUUUGGUAUAUGGAGAUUCUGUUCCCUGCCUCUACCUUCCAUAAAGUAUAAGUAAUAAAUAAAUAUUUUUACAAAUGCCAUAGUUUAAAGUAUUUUAUUGUUAAUUUCUGUCAAUCGGUUACCAAUCUCAGGCGGCGCUAAAAAGUACUAAAAACCCGAACCUUUUCUAUAAAAUGUCAAAUGGCUUCUCUACACGAUGGCCCAGUGCUGGACCAGCGAGAUGGCCAUGCAAUGGUGAUGGCUCCUCUACACGAUGGCCCAGUGCUGGACCAGCGAGAUGGCCAUGCAAUGGUGAUGGCUCCUCUACACGAUGGCCCAGUGCUGGACCAGCGAGAUGACCAUGCAAUGGUGAUGGCUCCUCUACACGAUGGCCUAGUGCUGGACCAGCGAGAUGGUCAUGCGAUGGUCGAGAGCACGCAGUAAUAUACAUACAUAUACUUACCUAAAUAUAACUAUGGAUUUUUAUUUUUAAUGUCAAACAGUAGCACUAAACUUUCAUUUGCAUGGCGUAAUGAAAACAUAAUUAUUUAUUAUUUAUUAUAAACCUAUACGGUGUCCCACUGCUGGGCAAAGACCUCCCCUCUCGAUUUCCACUCAUCUCGGUUUUGAACAAUCUCCGACCAGUCGUUGAGAUAUGCGUCCAGGUCGUCCCGCCAUCUCCGUCUGGGCCUAUCUUCCUCGUCUGUCUUGCGGCACCCAUACCGUGGUUAUUUUGGUCCCGCGAACACAUAUAACACAUAGCUCGCGCAAACUUAUUACCCCUUGAAUGUUGCGCGCUAUGGGAUCACAUCCCUGGAAUGCCAUUAUCUGGCACGUAUUUAAUCGCCCCAAGACGACCACUAACUUAGCCACUGGGCAUACUUUGACGACCAGUUUGGUGAAUAAGGGAUCGGCCAAACUAUUUCUUGUUAAAAGACGUUGAUGUAUCAUUUACUUCGUGGAAUAUGCACGUCUACGCAUACAUAUCAUAACAUGAUACAUAAUAUCUCAUCGUACGCACAUAUCAUAUUAUAUUUUA